RNAcentral lists this ribosomal RNA (213 nucleotides) under Salmonella enterica subsp. enterica serovar Minnesota str. A4-603. RNAcentral's name for it is "partial large subunit ribosomal RNA". The record is from RNAcentral. Lineage: Bacteria; Pseudomonadati; Pseudomonadota; Gammaproteobacteria; Enterobacterales; Enterobacteriaceae.
GUGCGUAAAUGGGUAUAACCAGGGGGUUUGCUGGGGAAUGCAGCAAACAGUCAUUUUUCUGCAAUUUUUCUAUUGCGGUCAGCAGAGAACUCCCUAUAAUGCGCCUCCAUCGACACGGCGGAUGUGAAUCACUUCACACAAACAGCCGGUCGGUUGAAGAGAAAAAUCCUGAAAUUCAGGGUUGACUCUGAAAGAGGAAAGCGUAAUAUACGC